GGGCCAUGAUGAUUUGAGUCGAUAGUUUUCGCCUCUCAUCUUUGGUAUCGACAAUCUUUACAUCUGUUGGGUGGAGGGGCCGCAGACUUGACCAUAGAGAGACAUGAAGUGUGAGGUCUGCUGCCUGCCCCAGCACACACACACUGGUGCGUGUGCGCAUGCGCAUACGCGUGCAUGUGCGCGCGCGUGCCUCAGUUCCCCCAUCUCAGUACGUUCUGGUGACUGACUCUCUCAUGCUGAGGAGAAGCUUCUGCUGCUGCAGUGGUGGUGCAGAGGUACAGGACUCAGUGCAGAGCAGGAGGUGCUGUCUACAAUGUCCUCAGAAUGAAGCUUCUGCGCCUUCUGCUUCAUUGGCCUACAAGAUCACUCCCUCCCUGGCUCUUGUUCAAGUUCUUGCGUAAGGUUCCCCGAAGCAGAUGCCUCAUCCGCACUUCAAGUUCCCUUACUCGCAGCCAACCACAGUCCCAACGUAUCAAAUAGAACAUUCCAGGGACAAUUCGAGGGAUUCUGGCUAAACCACCCUAGCUACAUUCUCAGUGAAGGAGUGAAUGGCCCACCUGUAAAGUCGGAUGGCCUAAGGAGGGGACUUUCCAUCUCCCCGUCAUUUACAAGGAUGGUCAGCCUCGGCCCCCUGCCUUGCUUCCUCUUUCAACUUCCAAGAAGUCCCUGUUCCUGUUUCUGCUGCCCCUGCUGCUGCUACCUCUGCCUAGCCAGCACAGGCAGAAGAGGGAAGAGCAGCCCCUGACUCUUCUGACUUCACUUGGAGUCCACCUCACACUCUGGCCCCAAUUGCCUAGAUAGUGAGCCGACUCUACCAUGGUCUUACUUCUCCAGUAAGUACGGGACCCCCAGAUGCUCAGGGAAGACAGUUCAUGUCAUAUGUGUUAUUUGCCAGUAAUGAUCUUUACAGCCAGAAGUUACAGAACCCCCCCAUUUUUAGAAAGACCAUCAGCUCUCACGGGUCUUCUAGUUUCAAUCAUGCUGACUGACUUACCUACCCUGGAUGACUGUCAGCAACUGCUCCUGGUCCUCUUCACAACAGAGUGGGAGGGAGAGGAUCCUGGGACCCCGCCCAGAAAUUUGGUUCUGGGAGCAAAUGGACUGCCUACUCUGUUCAGGCUGAUAUCUAUCGAUGCAGCCUUUCAUUUGACUGGGAUUUUAACGCUCCCCAAGUGACCUGUCAUCAAGCGGAGUUUCUGGGGGUCGAGUUCUCUACACCUGGGCCUCUGGAGAUCCAACACCCUCAGAGAAAGGGGAUAGCAAAAGGGGGUGCUCACCCCCUGUAUAGCCCUGGCUGUCCUGGAACUCACUUUGUAGACCAGGCUGGCCUUGAACUCAGAAAUCCGCCUGCCUCUGCCUCCCGAGGGCUGGGAUUAAAGGCGUGCGCCGCCACACCCGGCUUGUUAUUUUUAUAGAUACCGUUUCAGGAUGGGUAGAAGUCUACCCUACAAAGAAGGAGACUCCCAAUGUCCUGGCAAAGCAGCUUCUGGAGGGCCUCAGACCCAGGUGAAACCAGAAUCUGUCUGGAUUCAGAGACACAACCACAAGACUCUGGAACCUGGCAGGAAAGGGCCUCACACUGCCAUCCUGACCACACCUAUGGCUGUUAAGGUGGACCGGAUCUGGAUACACCCCUCUCACCUUAAGUCUGCCAGCUGAGGUC
Long non-coding RNA from Mus musculus (house mouse), 1663 nucleotides. RefSeq annotates it as predicted gene, 39556. NCBI's taxonomy places the organism in Eukaryota, Metazoa, Chordata, Mammalia, Rodentia, Muridae. The transcript is spliced from 5 exons. The record is from RefSeq and is a predicted model, not a curated record.